Molecule: ribosomal RNA, 362 nt
Filed under: uncultured bacterium
Lineage: Bacteria
Description: bacterial SSU rRNA
Rfam family: Bacterial small subunit ribosomal RNA
Source: RNAcentral
GGCAGCAGUGGGGAAUAUUGCACAAUGGGGGAAACCCUGAUGCAGCGACGCCGCGUGAAGGAAGAAGUAUCUCGGUAUGUAAACUUCUAUCAGCAGGGAAGAAAAUGACGGUGCCUGACUAAGAAGCCCCGGCUAACUACGUGCCAGCAGCCGCGGUAAUACGUAGGGGGCAAGCGUUAUCCGGAUUUACUGGGUGUAAAGGGAGCGUAGACGGAAGAGCAAGUCUGAUGUGAAAGGCUGGGGCUUAACCCCAGGACUGCAUUGGAAACUGUUUUUCUAGAGUGCCGGAGAGGUAAGCGGAAUUCCUAGUGUAGCGGUGAAAUGCGUAGAUAUUAGGAGGAACACCAGUGGCGAAGGCGGCU